GGUAGCAGGGUCGGUCCCCGUGAUCCCUGCCGCAGUGCUGGCAGAUCUUCCCACGUGCUGCCCCUGUAGCCUGAGGAGGGGCCUGGAUGGCGGGUCUGGGCCUUUUACUGGGUUGGACAGGCGCGGUAGGUGCUGGCCUGUGGAGCGGGGCUGAGGGUCGGGAACUCCCCGCUAGUUGAGGGUGGGUGUCGAAGCUCCUUUCU
This 203-nucleotide long non-coding RNA is filed under the name Carica papaya (papaya). Its description in RNAcentral is "long non-coding RNA (CPAP_LNC008420)". Lineage: Eukaryota; Viridiplantae; Streptophyta; Magnoliopsida; Brassicales; Caricaceae. The record is from RNAcentral.